GAUGAAGAACGCAGCGAAAUGCGAUAAGUAAUGCGAAUUGCAGAUUUCAGUGAGUCAUCGAAUCUUUGAACGCACAUUGCGCCCGCCAGUAUUCUGGCGGGCAUGCCUGUUCGAGCGUCAUUUCAACCAUCAAGCCCCCGGGCUUGCGUUGGGGCCCUGCGGCUGCCGCAGGCCCCGAAAAGCAGUGGCGGGCUCGCUGUCACACCGAGCGCAGUAGCGAUUCUCGCUCAGGGCGUGCUGCGGGUUCCGGCCGUUAAAAAGCCUUUUUUACCCAAGGUUGACCUCGGAUCAGGUAGGAAGACCCGCUGAACUUAAGCAUAUCAAUAAGCGGAGGA
Molecule: unclassified non-coding RNA, 335 nt
Filed under: soil metagenome
Description: partial contains 5.8S ribosomal RNA, internal transcribed spacer 2, and large subunit ribosomal RNA
Rfam family: 5.8S ribosomal RNA (bases 1-120)
Source: RNAcentral